This 116-nucleotide ribosomal RNA is filed under the name Bacillus licheniformis. The record is from RNAcentral. RNAcentral also lists the same sequence under 1 other name. Lineage: Bacteria; Bacillati; Bacillota; Bacilli; Caryophanales; Bacillaceae.
GUUGGUGGCGAUAGCGAAGAGGUCACACCCGUUCCCAUGCCGAACACGGAAGUUAAGCUCUUCAGCGCCGAUGGUAGUUGGGGGCUUCCCCCUGUGAGAGUAGGACGCCGCCAAGC